Lagopus leucura (white-tailed ptarmigan) is the source of this 363-nucleotide long non-coding RNA. RefSeq lists it as uncharacterized. The record is from RefSeq and is a predicted model, not a curated record. The transcript is spliced from 3 exons. Lineage: Eukaryota; Metazoa; Chordata; Aves; Galliformes; Phasianidae.
GUCCCAUAGUGACCCCAUAGGUGUCCCAUAGGUGUCCCAUAGUGACCCCAUAGGUGUCCCAUAGAGACUGCACAGAAGUCCCAUAGGUGUCCCCUACAGACCCCAUAGGUGUCCCAUAGGUGUCCCAUAGGAGUCCCAUAGAGACCCCAUUCAGGUCCCAUAGGUGUCCCAUAGGUGUCCCAUAGGGAUCCCACAUAGACCCCAUUCUGGUCCCAUAGGUGUCCCAUAGAGACCCCAUAGGGACUCCAUAGAGACCCAAUAGUGACCCCAUAGGUGUCCCAUAGAGACCCCAUAGGUGUCCCAUAGGUGUCCCAUCGGUGUCCCAUAGGGAUCCCAUAGAGACCCCAUAGGUGUCCCAUAGGU